This 440-nucleotide ribosomal RNA is filed under the name uncultured bacterium. Its description in RNAcentral is "partial 16S ribosomal RNA". It matches the Rfam family "Bacterial small subunit ribosomal RNA", at positions 338 to 795 of the family's 1533-position model. The record is from RNAcentral.
CCUACGGGAGGCAGCAGUGGGGAAUAUUGCACAAUGGGGGAAACCCUGAUGCAGCGACGCCGCGUGAGUGAAGAAGUAUUUCGGUACGUAAAGCUCUAUCAGCAGGGAAGAAAAUGACGGUACCUGACUAAGAAGCCCCGGCUAACUACGUGCCAGCAGCCGCGGUAAUACGUAGGGGGCAAGCGUUAUCCGGAUUUACUGGGUGUAAAGGGAGCGUAGACGGCAGCGCAAGUCUGGAGUGAAGUCCCAUGGCUUAACCAUGGAACUGCUUUGGAAACUGUGCAGCUAGAGUGCAGGAGAGGUAAGCGGAAUUCCUAGUGUAGCGGUGAAAUGCGUAGAUAUUAGGAGGAACACCAGUGGCGAAGGCGGCUUACUGGACUGUAACUGACGUUGAGGCUCGAAAGCGUGGGGAGCAAACAGGAUUAGAUACCCCUGUAGUC